This 464-nucleotide ribosomal RNA is filed under the name uncultured bacterium. RNAcentral's name for it is "partial 16S ribosomal RNA". It matches the Rfam family "Bacterial small subunit ribosomal RNA", at positions 28 to 507 of the family's 1533-position model. The record is from RNAcentral.
GAUGAACGCUGGCGGCGUGCUUAACACAUGCAAGUCGAACGGAAAGGCUCCUGCUUGCAGGGGUACUCGAGUGGCGAACGGGUGAGUAACACGUGGGUGAUCUGCCCUGCACUUCGGGUAAGCCUGGGAAACUGGGUCUAAUACCGGAUAGGACGAUGGUUUGGAUGCCAUUGUGGAAAGUUUUUCGGUGUGGGAUGAGCUCGCGGCCUAUCAGCUUGUUGGUGGGGUAAUGGCCUACCAAGGCGUCGACGGGUAGCCGGCCUGAGAGGGUGUACGGCCACAUUGGGACUGAGAUACGGCCCAGACUCCUACGGGAGGCAGCAGUGGGGAAUAUUGCACAAUGGGCGCAAGCCUGAUGCAGCGACGCCGCGUGGGGGAUGACGGCCUUCGGGUUGUAAACUCCUUUCGCUAGGGACGAAGCGCAAGUGACGGUACCUGGAGAAGAAGCACCGGCUAACUACGUG